UACGUAGGGUGCGAGCGUUAAUCGGAAUUACUGGGCGUAAAGCGUGCGCAGGCGGUUGAUUAAGACAGGCGUGAAAUCCCCGGGCUUAACCUGGGAACUGCGCUUGUGACUGGUCAGCUAGAGUACGGCAGAGGGGGGUGGAAUUCCACGUGUAGCAGUGAAAUGCGUAGAGAUGUGGAGGAACACCGAUGGCGAAGGCAGCCCCCUGGGCCGAUACUGACGCUCAUGCACGAAAGCGUGGGUAGCAAACAGGAUUAGAAACCCUCGUAGUCC
RNAcentral lists this ribosomal RNA (273 nucleotides) under uncultured prokaryote. Its description in RNAcentral is "partial 16S ribosomal RNA". It matches the Rfam family "Bacterial small subunit ribosomal RNA", at positions 524 to 796 of the family's 1533-position model. The record is from RNAcentral.